UGGGGAAUAUUGGACAAUGGGCGCAAGCUUGAUCCAGCCAUGCCGCGUGAGUGAUGAAGGCCCUAGGGUUGUAAAGCUCUUUCACCGGUGAAGAUAAUGACGGUAACCGGAGAAGAAGCCCCGGCUAACUUCGUGCCAGCAGCCGCGGUAAUACGAAGGGGGCUAGCGUUGUUCGGAUUUACUGGGCGUAAAGCGCACGUAGGCGGACUAUUAAGUCAGGGGUGAAAUCCCGGGGCUCAACCCCGGAACUGCCUUUGAUACUGGUAGUCUUGAGUUCGAGAGAGGGGAGUGGAAUUCCGAGUGUAGAGGUGAAAUUCGUAGAUAUUCGGAGGAACACCAGUGGCGAAGGCGGCUCACUGGCUCGAUACUGACGCUGAGGUGCGAAAGCGUGGGGAGCAAACAGG
Molecule: ribosomal RNA, 404 nt
Filed under: Actinomycetes bacterium
Lineage: Bacteria; Bacillati; Actinomycetota; Actinomycetes
Description: Actinobacteria bacterium partial 16S ribosomal RNA
Rfam family: Bacterial small subunit ribosomal RNA
Source: RNAcentral